GAUGAACGCUGGCGGCGUGCCUAACACAUGCAAGUCGAGCGAACAGAUGAGGAGCUUGCUCCUCUGACGUUAGCGGCGGACGGGUGAGUAACACGUGGAUAACCUACCUCUAAGACUGGGAUAACUACGGGAAACCGGAGCUAAUACUGGAUAAUAUAUCGAACCGCAUGGUUCAAUAGUGAAAGACGGCUUUGCCGUCACUUAUAGAUGGAUCCGCGUCGCAUUAGCUAGUUGGUAAGGUAACGGCUUACCAAGGCAACGAUGCGUAGCCGACCUGAGAGGAUGAUCAGCCACACUGGAACUGAGACACGGUCCAGACUCCUACGGGAGGCAGCAGUGGGGAAUCUUCCACAAUGGGCGAAAGCCUGACGGAGCAACGCCGCGUGAGUGAUGAAGGUCUUCGGAUCGUAAAGCUCUGUUAUUAGGGAAGAACAAAAGCGUAAGUAACUAUGCACGUCUUGACGGUACCUAAAGAGAAAGCCACGGCUAACUACGUG
This 497-nucleotide ribosomal RNA is filed under the name uncultured bacterium. RNAcentral describes it as "partial 16S ribosomal RNA". It matches the Rfam family "Bacterial small subunit ribosomal RNA", at positions 28 to 507 of the family's 1533-position model. The record is from RNAcentral.